CUUUCUCUGACUGCAGUCAUUAGGAUGGAGGAGUGAGGGCUGAAGUAAGAAAGUGGCAGAGAACUCAAUAAGAAAGAAGACUCUGUCCACCUACUGCUGUGACAUCACAAGUUGGAGACAAGUUGGCUGGUUGGAUGGUCUGAUGAGCAAUACAAAAGCUCCAAUAAUCAGAGAGUAUCACGCCUUGAACAGCCCUGGAAGGACAGUACCAGUUUGAUCGGAAUAUACCAUUGUUCCAUUAUCAGCACAUUUAUUACCUCCGCUUGUGAUAACCCCACAAAUGCAAGAGUGACAUGCAGCCACAAGGACAUGGAGCAUAUAUCCACCCCCAACACAAACAAAGCCCCACCCCUAGACUGUGAUUGGCUCAUGGGCUAGCCACUGAAAGUACAGGGAUGACCA
Molecule: long non-coding RNA, 402 nt
Organism: Pseudophryne corroboree (corroboree frog)
Lineage: Eukaryota; Metazoa; Chordata; Amphibia; Anura; Myobatrachidae
Exons: 5
Source: RefSeq, a predicted model, not a curated record